This 774-nucleotide ribosomal RNA is filed under the name uncultured Neocallimastigales. RNAcentral's name for it is "partial large subunit ribosomal RNA". It matches the Rfam family "Eukaryotic large subunit ribosomal RNA", at positions 24 to 635 of the family's 3401-position model. The record is from RNAcentral. Lineage: Eukaryota; Fungi; Neocallimastigomycota; Neocallimastigomycetes; Neocallimastigales.
UAUCUCUGUAGAGUCUGCAUAUCAAUAAGCGGAGGAAAAGAAACUAACUAGGAUUCCCCUAGUAACGGCGAGUGAAGCGGGAAGAGCUCAAAUUUGAAAUCUUAAAGGGUUUCCCUUUACGAAUUGUAGUUUAAAGAAGUGUUUUCUGUUGAGGUUUUGGUAAAAGUUCUUUGGAAUAGGACGUCAUAGAGGGUGAGAAUCCCGUAUUUGACCUUUACUUUCAACUUUGUGAUACACUUUCAAAGAGUCGGAUUGUUUGGGAAUGCAGUCCAAAAUGGGUGGUAAAUUUCAUCUAAAGCCAAAUAUUGGCGAGAGACCGAUAGCGAACAAGUACCGUGAGGGAAAGAUGAAAAGAACUUUGAAAAGAGAGUUAAACAGUACGUGAAAUUGUCAAAAGGGAAGCGUUUGACACCAGUGUUGUUUUUCUGAAAAUCAAUUAAAGAACUGUUUAUGCUAAGUUGUUUAGACUUUAUCAGCUAUCUGUUUAGUUUUGAGCUUUUCUUUAAUGCACUUUUCAGUUAACAAGUCAACAUCAAUUUCUUUUGCUGUAAAAAAGCUUGAGGAAGGUGGCUUGAGAUUCGUCUUAAGUGUUUAUAGCCUCUUGCCUAUGCAGUCGGAGAGAUUGAGGUCUGCAGCGUAGAUCCUUCGGGGCUAAAUGCAUUUGUGCUAAGUUAUAGCAUUUUAUAGACAACUUGUUGACUAUGAUUUGUCUUGUAGCUUACUCGCAUAUGUUAUUUUACCUACGCUUAGGAUGUUGACGAUCAGCUGAGCGCG